RNAcentral lists this ribosomal RNA (1285 nucleotides) under uncultured bacterium. RNAcentral describes it as "partial 16S ribosomal RNA". It matches the Rfam family "Bacterial small subunit ribosomal RNA", at positions 66 to 1343 of the family's 1533-position model. The record is from RNAcentral.
ACGAAGCGCUACCGACGGAACUUUUCGGAGGGAAGAUGGUAAUGACUGAGUGGCGGACGGGUGAGUAACGCGUGGGUAACCUGCCUCACAGAGGGGGACAACAGCCGGAAACGGCUGCUAAUACCGCAUAACAAGGGAUCUCCGCAUGAAGGUUCCUUCAAAGAUUUAUCGCUGUGAGAUGGACCCGCGUCUGAUUAGCUAGUUGGCAGGGUAACGGCCUACCAAGGCGACGAUCAGUAGCCGGCUUGAGAGAGUGAACGGCCACAUUGGGACUGAGACACGGCCCAGACUCCUACGGGAGGCAGCAGUGGGGAAUAUUGCACAAUGGGGGAAACCCUGAUGCAGCGACGCCGCGUGAGUGAAGAAGUAUUUCGGUAUGUAAAGCUCUAUCAUCAGGGAACAUAAUGACGGUACCUGACUAACAAGCCCCGGCUAACUACUUGCCACCACCCCCACUAAUACGUAGGGGGCAAACCUUAUCCGGAUUUACUUAAUCUAAAAUAAACCUANAUNACAAAACAACUCANAUNUAAAAACCCNNNACUCAACCCCNNAAUUCCAUCCCCCCCCUCUCCCNNCCUANANCUCCACCCACCACCUAACCUCCAAUUCUCUACUCUANCAAUAAAAUGCAUAUAUUUUAGGGGAAACCCCCCUNNCNNNNNCNCNCUUCCUNCCCUCUNNCUNNCNCUNNNCCUCNAAANCNUNNNNACCCCUCAAGGGNNNNNCCNNNNNNNUCCNCNCANNNNACGACCUCUUAGGAUGUCGGGGCCCACAGGGCUUCGGUGCCGCAGCAAACGCAUUAAGUAUUCCACCUGGGGAGUACGUUCGCAAGAAUGAAACUCAAAGGAAUUGACGGGGACCCGCACAAGCGGUGGAGCAUGUGGUUUAAUUUGAAGCAACGCGGAGAACCUUACCAAGCCUUGACAUCCUGCUGACCGUCCCUUAGCCGGGGCUUCCCUUCGGGGCAGCAGAGACAGGUGGUGCAUGGUUGUCGUCAGCUCGUGUCGUGAGAUGUUGGGUUAAGUCCCGCAACGAGCGCAACCCUUAUCCUUAGUAGCCAGCAUAUCAGAUGGGAACUCUGGGGAGACUGCCGGAGACAAUCCGGAGGAAGGUGGGGAUGACGUCAAAUCAUCAUGCCCCUUAUGGCUUGGGCUACUCACGUGCUACAAUGGUGGUAACAAAGUGACGCGACCCCGUGAGGGCAAGCCAACCACAAAAAAGCCAUCUCAGUUCGGAUUGUAGUCUGCAACCCGACUACAUGAAGCUGGAAUCGCUAGUAAUC